GAUGAAGAACGUAGCGAAAUGCGAUACUUGGUGUGAAUUGCAGAAUCCCGUGAACCAUCGAGUCUUUGAACGCAAGUUGCGCCCGAAGCCAUUAGGCCGAGGGCACGCCUGCCUGGGUGUCACACGUCGUUGCCCCCCCAUCUACUCCUUCGGGAUUGCGGGGGGCGGAUGAUGGCCUCCCGUGCGCCUCGUCGCGCGGUUGGCAUAAAUGCCAAGUCCUCGGCGACGCACGCCACGACAAUCGGUGGUUGCGAAACCUCGGUUGCCCGUCGUGUGCGGUCGUCGCGCAUCGAGGGCUCGAAAAAAUUGCCGGGCUCCGGCUCGGCUUUCAACGCGACCCCAGGUCAGGCGGGGUUACCCGCUGAAUUUGAGCAUAUCAAUAAGCGGAGGA
RNAcentral lists this unclassified non-coding RNA (391 nucleotides) under soil metagenome. Its description in RNAcentral is "partial contains 5.8S ribosomal RNA, internal transcribed spacer 2, and large subunit ribosomal RNA". The stretch from base 1 to 122 matches the Rfam family "5.8S ribosomal RNA", at positions 35 to 154 of the family's 154-position model. The record is from RNAcentral.